UACGUAGGGGGCAAGUGUUAUCCGGAAUUACUGGGUGUAAAGGGUGAGUAGGCGGCAUGGUAAGCCAGAUGUGAAAGCCUUGGGCUUAACCCGAGGAUUGCAUUUGGAACUAUCAAGCUAGAGUACAGGAGAGGAAAGCGGAAUUCCUAGUGUAGCGGUGAAAUGCGUAGAUAUUAGGAAGAACACCAGUGGCGAAGGCGGCUUUCUGGACUGAAACUGACGCUGAGGCACGAAAGCGUGGGGAGCGAACAGG
RNAcentral lists this ribosomal RNA (253 nucleotides) under uncultured bacterium. Its description in RNAcentral is "partial 16S ribosomal RNA". It matches the Rfam family "Bacterial small subunit ribosomal RNA", at positions 524 to 776 of the family's 1533-position model. The record is from RNAcentral.